Molecule: ribosomal RNA, 486 nt
Filed under: uncultured bacterium
Lineage: Bacteria
Description: partial 16S ribosomal RNA
Rfam family: Bacterial small subunit ribosomal RNA
Source: RNAcentral
AUUGAACGCUGGCGGCAUGCCUUACACAUGCAAGUCGAACGGCAGCACGGGUGCUUGCACCUGGUGGCGAGUGGCGAACGGGUGAGUAAUACAUCGGAACAUGUCCUGUAGUGGGGGAUAGCCCGGCGAAAGCCGGAUUAAUACCGCAUACGAUCCACGGAUGAAAGCGGGGGACCUUCGGGCCUCGCGCUAUAGGGUUGGCCGAUGGCUGAUUAGCUAGUUGGUGGGGUAAAGGCCUACCAAGGCGACGAUCAGUAGCUGGUCUGAGAGGACGACCAGCAACACUGGGACGGAGACACGGCCCAGACUCCUACGGGAGGCAGCAGUGUGGAAUUUUGGACAAGGGGCGAAAGCCUGAUCCAGCAAUGCCGCGUGUGUGAAGAAGGCCUUCGGGUUGUAAAGCACCUUUGUCCGGAAAGAAAUCCUUGACUCUAAUACAGUCGGGGGAUGACGGUACCGGAAGAAUAAGCACCGGCUAACUACGUG